Molecule: long non-coding RNA, 965 nt
Organism: Homo sapiens (human)
Lineage: Eukaryota; Metazoa; Chordata; Mammalia; Primates; Hominidae
Gene: TMEM191A
Product: transmembrane protein 191A (pseudogene)
Source: Ensembl
CUCAUUGCCUCCCCGUCCCUGUCUCCCCUGACACUCGUUCCUCCAGAAGCCCGGUAAACCCCGUCCUUACGAGCCCCGCCCCUAGCUCUUCUACUACGGAGGGGAACUGCAGAGCCAGAAGAGCACGGAGCAGCAACUCGCAGCCCAAUUGGUGACGCUGCAGAAUGAACUGGAGCUGGCGGAGACCAAAUGCGCCUUGCAGGAGGAGAAGCUGCAGCAGGACGCGCUGCAGACAGCGGAGGCCUGGGCCAUAUUCCAGGAGCAGACCGUAGUCCUGCAGGUGCGGCCCCACUCAGACGCCAAGGUGCCUCCCGCCUCUCCUCCCCCAGACCUGGGGCGGUAAGUCUCCCAACCCACCGCCAGGACGCCUCCCCGAGGCCUCAGUCCGCACUCUCACCCGCUCCAGGAGGUGCAGGUGAAGGUGAUGGAGGCUGCGGAGGAGCUGGACGCCUGGCAGAGUGGCCGGGAACUGUAAGGGAGUUGGGCUUGCGGGCGCGGCGGGGCACUGUGGGGCCGGGCCGGGCUGGGCUCCCACCUGCAUGCCUGUCCCCGCAGGUGUGACGGGCAGCUUCGCAGAGUGCAGUACAGCACCGAGUCGCUCAUGGAGGAGAUGGCCAGGGCGGACCGAGAGACGCGGCUGUUCGGCGGUCCUCGCGCGCUGGCCAUCAGGCGCUGCUGACGCUGCCGCUCCUCUUCCUGGGGCUGUCGCUGCUCUGGACGGUGCUGUUGGACCCCGGCGCCGUCUCCGCGUGGCUCUGGAGCCUCACCUCGGAGACGACGCUGCGCCGCCUGCGCUACACGCUGUCCCCGCUGCUGGAGCUGCGCGCUAACGGGCUGCUGCCAACCUAAGUGCAGCGCCCCGCGCCUGGCUCCAGGUGGACUCCAGGGCACCGGCUUUAUUUCUGGUGCACUCCUCUCCUGAGAGUGUAGACCAAGGUCGCCUAAUAAACUCCUCAAGGGAUGAA